CUCUUGGAGCCGCUGCUUAGGCUUAUUGUCCUCUCUGGGCGCUUUGUAUUCUUGAUGUUGGUGGGAAGAAUAAAAGGUGGCUACAGUUUAACUGGAAGUGACAAACUGAGGAAACUGAGGCACUGGAAGAUGAAGGCUACAGAGGUAGAAAGUGAUGGAGGAGAUACAUCCAGAAGACUGCAUUACAAUUUCAAAUCAAAGCUGGACAAGUUUUUUUUUUUUUUUACACAGAUAUCACCAUGUUAGAAAAGUUGGACAAGUUUUGAAACCAUUCUGAACCUAUCAUUCCUGUCUUUCAAAUCCUUCCAAGGCAUCUUAUUAUUGAUUUGUUUCUAUAUUUUCCUCAUUAUUAAAGAGGUUGAGUAUCUUUUCUCUAGAGCUAGUUUGGGUUCUGAUUUUCUUCACUUUCGUGAUGGAGUCAUUUUAGAAUUGAAGGGCAUCAUAGCAACUGAGGCAGUGUUGACAUCAUCAAUGUUUUAGGAUUACAGGUAACCAUAUUUC
RNAcentral lists this long non-coding RNA (501 nucleotides) under Homo sapiens (human). RNAcentral's name for it is "HSALNT0370067". Lineage: Eukaryota; Metazoa; Chordata; Mammalia; Primates; Hominidae. The record is from RNAcentral.